AUAAAAGAGGCAAGGAGAUCAAAUCCUUGCUGAUCGCGGUCAAGUCUUGGGAGGAUCAGAUCUUAGGCGCGCUCGUCGCAGCCCCGGCAACGGUUAAGGAUCACGCGAAACUGGAACAAGGCCUCACGGCCUUGUUUUUUUUU
Rhizobium sp. is the source of this 143-nucleotide non-coding RNA. The record is from Rfam. NCBI's taxonomy places the organism in Bacteria, Pseudomonadati, Pseudomonadota, Alphaproteobacteria, Hyphomicrobiales, Rhizobiaceae.